AUUGAACGCUGGCGGCAGGCCUUACACAUGCAAGUCGAGCGAGAAAGGCCUUCGGGCUGAGUACAGCGGCGGACGGGUGAGUAACGCGUAGGAAUCUACCUGGUAGUGGGGGACAACAUGGGGAAACUCAUGCUAAUACCGCAUACGCCCUAUGGGGGAAAGCGGGGGACCUUCGGGCCUCGCGCUAACAGAUGAGCCUGCGUAGGAUUAGCUUGUUGGUGAGGUAAAGGCUCACCAAGGCGACGAUCCUUAGCUGGUCUGAGAGGAUGAUCAGCCACACUGGAACUGAGACACGGUCCAGACUCCUACGGGAGGCAGCAGUGGGGAAUAUUGCGCAAUGGGCGAAAGCCUGACGCAGCCAUGCCGCGUGUGUGAAGAAGGCCUUAGGGUUGUAAAGCACUUUCAAUUGGGAAGAAAGGUUGCGUGUUAAUAGCACGUAGCUGUGGCGUUACCUUUAGAAGAAGCACCGGCUAACUCCGUGCCAGCAGCCGCGGUAAUACGGAGGGUGCGAGCGUUAAUCGGAAUUACUGGGCGUAAAGCGCGCGUAGGCGGUUUGUUAAGUCGGAUGUGAAAGCCCCGGGCUCAACCUGGGAAUUGCAUUCGAUACUGGCCGACUAGAGUACGAGAGAGGGAGGUAGAAUUCCACGUGUAGCGGUGAAAUGCGUAGAUAUGUGGAGGAAUACCGGUGGCGAAGGCGGCCUCCUGGCUCGAUACUGACGCUGAGGUGCGAAAGCGUGGGUAGCAAACAGGAUUAGAUACCCUGGUAGUCCACGCCGUAAACGAUGUCUACUAGCCGUUGGGAGACUUGAUUUCUUAGUGGCGCAGCUAACGCACUAAGUAGACCGCCUGGGGAGUACGGCCGCAAGGUUA
This 870-nucleotide ribosomal RNA is filed under the name uncultured bacterium. Its description in RNAcentral is "bacterial SSU rRNA". It matches the Rfam family "Bacterial small subunit ribosomal RNA", at positions 28 to 896 of the family's 1533-position model. The record is from RNAcentral.